GGCAUCCACUAACCAUCUGACGUUCCAAGUUCCCAUGCCAUCCGUUCAAAACAAUAGCAGUUUCCCAAGGAGAUUUCAUUUUUGCUAUCCCUUCCUCUUUAGAUUUCUCUAGAUUUCCUUCAACUCGGGUUUCUCAACCAUCUUUCCUCUCUUCCUCGCUGAAGGCAAGUGAAGGCUACAUCCUCCAGGUAUAUUUCUUCUCCCGUUCUUAAGGCAUCUUUUGCAAGUUCAUGAGCUUGACGAUUCUCUGAUCUGUGAAUAAACUGGAAAUGGCUUUCUUGAAAAAAUUGUUUCUUUCUUUGGAUAUCUCGGAUGACCGCCCCUAUCGCUGACUUGUCUGUUGUUGUUGAGUUGCAUUUUUUUAUAACUGUUUUUGAAUCUCCUAUUAUGGUAAUUGAUUGAAAACCCAGUGAGAUCCCUAACUUUACUGCUUGUAAUCCUGCAUAUGCCUCCGCCAUGAACGGGGACGAUAUUGCGGAGUGGAGUACUGAUUUUAAGGCAAGAAACUCAUCCAUCUCCCCCCUCACCACUAUACCCGAAGCCGAUCUUGAAUAUUUGUUGUCAAAGGCUGCGUCAACAUAGAUAGUUGCUGUCGUACUUCUUGUGUUCUGUCUCUGACGUAUGCUUUCACCUAAGUUGGUUCCUAGAGCUCCAUAUCAUCCAUGCAACACAACAAAAAAGCCGACACUGUUGACUGUUGCCUAUGGUAAAAACCCAGGGCACUGUCUAAACACAUGGUUGCUAUCUUCUUCUACACUUCGACACCGGGGACAUGAGCUAUCUGAAGCCACUCUUCUUAGUCUUAAAUUCUUUAGGGUAGGGAUAAAGUUGAAUGAAAGACUCCAAAUAGUGAUGGCAAUUUUUGAAGGAAGGCGUAGACUCCAUAAUUUCCUAUAGAAAUUUUUUGUUUUGAUCUGUAUUAAAUAAGCAUUAGGAUCUGUAGUUGCCUAUUGUAAUAGUUUAUAGGCACUUCUGACUGUAAAUUGGCCAGAAUGUUCUCCUCGCCAAACUUGAAAGUCGCCAUGUUCUUCUUCCGCCAAAGGAAUUUGUAGAAUCUUUUGUGCAAUAUUUUCUGAAAAGGUAUUUUCAAUUAAA
This is a long non-coding RNA of Gossypium arboreum, 1095 nucleotides long. RefSeq lists it as uncharacterized. NCBI's taxonomy places the organism in Eukaryota, Viridiplantae, Streptophyta, Magnoliopsida, Malvales, Malvaceae. The record is from RefSeq and is a predicted model, not a curated record. The transcript is spliced from 3 exons.